AUUUAUUUGGGGGAGAAGGGGAAAGAGGGAGGGGGCAGCGUGGAAGUGAAGGCUUUCACUGCCUCUUCCUCGAAUUGGAAAAGCUAUAUACAGUAGUAGCUGUCCGCACGUCCUUCGUGGGUUUAUUUCGAUCAGCUUUUGGAGUAAAAACGGGUGCAAAAUAGAUUCUGGUAUGAUUAGCUUGUCCCAAAAAAAAAAGUUUCAGAAGCCAUUUUAAUCUUUUUUUUCCAUAAUAUUCUUACAUAACAAUUCCUUCUUAAAGAAUUUUGCUUCGUUCAAAUAUUUUUUAAAAAAAAAAUAUGCGGCACAUGCCUGAAAAAAAAAAUAUUUUUUACAUAUUUAGUUGAUUAUAAAAAAUAAUAUUAUAUAGCUUAUAUUUAAUUGAAUAUUUAUUUUUUCGAUAAAGUUAUGUAAAAUAGUUUUUAAAGUAUCUUAUUAUAUUCUAUUUUAUUUAAAAGUUUAAAAAUAUUUUUUAAGAAAAUUACCUUAUUUUUCGGGUGCUAGAAAUAAAAAUUGGAUUUUCUCAUAUCUUACGGUGAUCUUUCUUUCUGAUGGAAAUCUCAAUUUCAU
RNAcentral lists this long non-coding RNA (570 nucleotides) under Phoenix dactylifera (date palm). Its description in RNAcentral is "long non-coding RNA (PDAC_LNC015754)". The record is from RNAcentral. Lineage: Eukaryota; Viridiplantae; Streptophyta; Magnoliopsida; Arecales; Arecaceae.